This 253-nucleotide ribosomal RNA is filed under the name uncultured bacterium. RNAcentral's name for it is "partial 16S ribosomal RNA". It matches the Rfam family "Bacterial small subunit ribosomal RNA", at positions 524 to 776 of the family's 1533-position model. The record is from RNAcentral.
UACGUAGGGUGCAAGCGUUGUCCGGAAUUAUUGGGCGUAAAGAGCUCGUAGGCGGUUUGUUGCGUCGGCUGUGAAAUCCCGAGGCUCAACCUCGGGUCUGCAGUCGAUACGAGCAAACUAGAGUGUUGCAGGGGAGACUGGAAUUCCUGGUGUAGCGGUGAAAUGCGCAGAUAUCAGGAGGAACACCGGUGGCGAAGGCGGGUCUCUGGGCAACUACUGACGCUGAGGAGCGAAAGCGUGGGGAGCGAACAGG